This 507-nucleotide ribosomal RNA is filed under the name uncultured Capnodiales. Its description in RNAcentral is "eukaryotic LSU rRNA". The stretch from base 169 to 322 matches the Rfam family "5.8S ribosomal RNA". The record is from RNAcentral. Lineage: Eukaryota; Fungi; Ascomycota; Dothideomycetes; Capnodiales.
UGACCUGCGGAGGGAUCAUUACCGAGUGAGGGUUCCGGCCCGACCUCCAACCCUUUGUUGACCAACACCUGUUGCCUCGGGGGCGGUCCGGCCGCGGACUUCGCGCCGGCCCCCCAGGGGACCACUAACUCUGUAUUUCUGCGUCGGAGUAUUAUAUGAAUCAAUCAAAACUUUCAACAACGGAUCUCUUGGUUCUGGCAUCGAUGAAGAACGCAGCGAAAUGCGAUAAGUAAUGUGAAUUGCAGAAUUCAGUGAAUCAUCGAAUCUUUGAACGCACAUUGCGCCCUUUGGUAUUCCGAAGGGCAUACCCGUUCGAGCGUCAUUACACCACUCAAGCCUGGCUUGGUAUUGGGCGGCGAGGCCCCCUCGCGCCCUAAUUUCUCCGGCGGGAAUGACCCCAAUUGCAAGCGUUGUAAUACAAAUUCGCACCGCAAGAAGGGGCUUCCACGCCGUUAAAAAUUGAACAAGGUUGACCUCGGAUCGGGUAGGGAUACCCGCUGAACUUAA